RNAcentral lists this ribosomal RNA (430 nucleotides) under uncultured bacterium. RNAcentral describes it as "partial 16S ribosomal RNA". It matches the Rfam family "Bacterial small subunit ribosomal RNA", at positions 29 to 506 of the family's 1533-position model. The record is from RNAcentral.
AACGAACGCUGGCGGCAGGCCUAACACAUGCAAGUCGAGCGCCCCGCAAGGGGAGCGGCGGACGGGUGAGUAACGCGUGGGAAUAUGCCCUUUGCUACGGAAUAGUCUCGGGAAACUGGGGGUAAUACCGUAUACGCCCUUUGGGGGAAAGAUUUAUCGGCGAAGGAUUAGCCCGCGUUGGAUUAGGUAGUUGGUGGGGUAAUGGCCUACCAAGCCGACGAUCCAUAGCUGGUUUGAGAGGAUGAUCAGCCACACUGGGACUGAGACACGGCCCAGACUCCUCGGGAGGGCCGCAGGGGGGAUCCUUAAACAAUGGGGGCAACCCUAAUCUGGCCGGGCCGGGUAGGUGAUGAAGGCCUUGGGGUUGUAAAGCCCUUUCAGCGGGGAAGAUAAUGCCGGUACCAGCAAAAGAAGCCCCGCCUACCUCCGU